GUUUCCGUAGGUGACCUGCGGAAGGAUCAUUAUUGAAUUGUAAACAGGGAAGAGGGCUGAUGCUGGCCUCUCAGAGGCAUGUGCACGCUCGAUCUCUGACAUCCUUUCACACCUGUGCACCGACGCAUGAUCGAACAUCUCCCUCUCUGGGAGCCGGUCAUGUCUUUUCACAAACCCUUUGCAUGUCUUUACAGAAGGUGAUCUUCUUCACCACGUGUUGUGUACAUAUCAGCAUGUGUUAAUACAACUUUCAACAACGGAUCUCUUGGCUCUCGCAUCGAUGAAGAACGCAGCGAAAUGCGAUAAGUAAUGUGAAUUGCAGAUUUUCAGUGAAUCAUCGAAUCUUUGAACGCACCUUGCGCUCCUUGGCAUUCCGAGGAGCAUGCCUGUUUGAGUGUCAUUAUAACCUCAACCACUCUCCCUUUUUAAAGGGGGGCAGUGUGUUGGAAUUGGGGCGUGCCGAUGGCUUCUGCCUUAUUCUGGCUCCCCUUCAAAAUCAUUAGCUGGGCCUUCCCUUGGGUCUUGUGGUGUGAUAAGAAAGCGCCGUGAACCUUGGGCAACCUGUGCCUGCUUCCAAUCUGGUCUUGCCUUUGCUGGUGGGACAGUUGUGAAACCUUGACCUC
This 623-nucleotide ribosomal RNA is filed under the name Sulzbacheromyces caatingae. RNAcentral's name for it is "eukaryotic LSU rRNA". The stretch from base 246 to 400 matches the Rfam family "5.8S ribosomal RNA". The record is from RNAcentral. Lineage: Eukaryota; Fungi; Basidiomycota; Agaricomycetes; Lepidostromatales; Lepidostromataceae.